Molecule: ribosomal RNA, 592 nt
Filed under: Calothrix sp. Am10
Lineage: Bacteria; Bacillati; Cyanobacteriota; Cyanophyceae; Nostocales; Calotrichaceae
Description: bacterial SSU rRNA
Rfam family: Bacterial small subunit ribosomal RNA
Source: RNAcentral
GUAUGCUAAUACCGGAUGUGCCGAGAGGUGAAAGGCGUAAAUUGCCAGAUGAUGAGCUCGCGUCAGAUUAGCUAGUUGGUGGGGUAAAGGCCUACCAAGGCGACGAUCUGUAGCUGGUCUGAGAGGACGAUCAGCCACACUGGAACUGAGACACGGUCCAGACUCCUACGGGAGGCAGCAGUGGGGAAUUUUCCGCAAUGGGCGAAAGCCUGACGGAGCAAUACCGCGUGAGGGAGGAAGGCUCUUGGGUCGUAAACCUCUUUUCUCUAGGAAGAUAAUGACGGUACUAGAGGAAUAAGCAUCGGCUAACUCCGUGCCAGCAGCCGCGGUAAUACGGAGGAUGCAAGCGUUAUCCGGAAUGAUUGGGCGUAAAGCGUCCGCAGGUGGUUAUGUAAGUCUGCGGUUAAAGAGUGGGGCUUAACUCCAUAAGGGCCGUGGAAACUACAAGACUAGAGUAGGUUAGGGGCAGAGGGAAUUCCCAGUGUAGCGGUGAAAUGCGUAGAGAUUGGGAAGAACACCGGUGGCGAAAGCGCUCUGCUAGGACAAUACUGACACUGAGGGACGAAAGCUAGGGGAGCGAAUGGGAUUAGAU